CAAGAUGUGGCUAAGAUAGAAAAGCAUCCCCCUUACACCGAGAAAACGUCCGUGCAAAUCGAACCCUUUUGA
RNAcentral lists this transfer RNA (72 nucleotides) under Parosphromenus paludicola. Its description in RNAcentral is "tRNA-Val". Lineage: Eukaryota; Metazoa; Chordata; Actinopteri; Anabantiformes; Osphronemidae. The record is from RNAcentral.